Long non-coding RNA from Triticum dicoccoides, 307 nucleotides. RefSeq lists it as uncharacterized. The transcript is spliced from 3 exons. The record is from RefSeq and is a predicted model, not a curated record. NCBI's taxonomy places the organism in Eukaryota, Viridiplantae, Streptophyta, Magnoliopsida, Poales, Poaceae.
UGUACACUAUUGUUUGAUAAAUUGGUGGCAAAUAGCUGUGUGAGCUUCAUUUGGUCAGGUUGUUUCGACUGCAUGAUGCAUGAGACAUGGAUUCCUAAGGAUUGUUCAAGUGCAUUCAGUGUUAACGGAUGGAACACAGAUUAGCCUUGGCCACAAUGAGCAGAAGGAGUACAAUAUGGGUGACUGCAGGUACGUCCCCAGGGACACCGCUACGUCACUGUUGAAGGAAUCACAGUUGUGCUGGAAGGUCCUGCGUUCCUGCUUGCUGUGUCUGCCUUCUCAUCUUAUUUUAUGAUCGUUUAUGUGA